AGACAGCAGUCGCCGCGGGAACACCUAGGGUGCGAGCGUUAAUCGGAAUUACUGGGCGCAAAGCGUGCGCAGGCGGUUAUAUAAGACAGAUGUGAAAUCCCCGGGCUCAACCUGGGACCUGCAUUUGUGACUGUAUAGCUAGAGUACGGUAGAGGGGGAUGGAAUUCCGCGUGUAGCAGUGAAAUGCGUAGAUAUGCGGAGGAACACCGAUGGCGAAGGCAAUCCCCUGGACCUGUACUGACGCUCAUGCACGAAAGCGUGGGGAGCAAACAGGAUUAGAUACCCCAGUAGUCCCUGUCUCUUAUAC
This 307-nucleotide ribosomal RNA is filed under the name uncultured bacterium. Its description in RNAcentral is "partial 16S ribosomal RNA". It matches the Rfam family "Bacterial small subunit ribosomal RNA", at positions 506 to 807 of the family's 1533-position model. The record is from RNAcentral.